This 73-nucleotide transfer RNA is filed under the name Chloroflexota bacterium. RNAcentral's name for it is "tRNA-Thr". It matches the Rfam family "tRNA". From Rfam's summary of the family: Transfer RNA (tRNA) molecules are approximately 80 nucleotides in length. Lineage: Bacteria; Bacillati; Chloroflexota. The record is from RNAcentral. RNAcentral also lists the same sequence under 1 other name.
GCCCACCUAGCUCAGUCGGCAGAGCGCGUCCUUGGUAAGGACGAGGUCUCGGGUUCGAAUCCCGAGGUGGGCU